This 415-nucleotide ribosomal RNA is filed under the name Enterococcus faecalis. RNAcentral describes it as "partial 16S ribosomal RNA". It matches the Rfam family "Bacterial small subunit ribosomal RNA", at positions 62 to 455 of the family's 1533-position model. The record is from RNAcentral. Lineage: Bacteria; Bacillati; Bacillota; Bacilli; Lactobacillales; Enterococcaceae.
UCGNACGCUUCUUUUCUCCCGAGUGCUUGCNCUCNNUUGGAAAGAGGAGUGGCGGACGGGUGAGUAACACGUGGGUAACCUNCCCAUCAGAGGGGGAUAACACUUGGAAACAGGUGCUAAUACCGCAUAACAGUUUAUGCCGCAUGGNNUANNANUGAAAGGCGCUUUCGGGUGUCGCUGAUGGAUGGACCCGCGGUGCAUUAGCUAGUUGGUGAGGUAACGGCUCACCAAGGCCACGAUGCAUAGCCGACCUGAGAGGGUGAUCGGCCACACUGGGACUGAGACACGGCCCANACUCCUACGGGAGGCAGCAGUAGGGAAUCUUCGGCAAUGGACGAAAGUCUGACCGAGCAACGCCGCGUGAGUGAAGAAGGUUUUCGGAUCGUAAAACUCUGUUGUUAGAGAAGAACAAGGA